RNAcentral lists this ribosomal RNA (460 nucleotides) under uncultured bacterium. Its description in RNAcentral is "partial 16S ribosomal RNA". It matches the Rfam family "Bacterial small subunit ribosomal RNA", at positions 338 to 795 of the family's 1533-position model. The record is from RNAcentral.
CCUACGGGUGGCAGCAGUGAGGAAUAUUGGUCAAUGGGCGUAAGCCUGAACCAGCCAAGUCGCGUGAGGGAUGAAGGUUCUAUGGAUCGUAAACCUCUUUUAUAAGGGAAUAAAGUGUGGGACGUGUCUUAUUUUGUAUGUACCUUAUGAAUAAGGAUCGGCUAACACCGUGCCAGCAGCCGCGGUAAUACGGAGGUUCCGAGCGUUAUCCGGAUUUAUGGGGUUUAAAGGGUGCGUAGGCGGCCUUUUAAGUCAGCGGUGAAAGUCUGUGGCUCAACCAUAGAAGUGCCGUUGAAACUGGGGGGCUUGGGUAUGUUUGGGGCAGGCGGAAUGCGUGGUGUAGCGGUGAAAUGCUUAGAUAUCACGCAGAACCCCGAUUGGGAAGGCAGCCUGACAGGCCAUGACUGACGCUGAUGCACGAAAGCGUGGGGAUCAAACAGGAUUAGAUACCCGGGUAGUG